Molecule: long non-coding RNA, 1064 nt
Organism: Ziziphus jujuba (common jujube)
Lineage: Eukaryota; Viridiplantae; Streptophyta; Magnoliopsida; Rosales; Rhamnaceae
Exons: 2
Source: RefSeq, a predicted model, not a curated record
AAAUCCAAAAGGGGCAAAGUAAAAGGUCACUGAAAAAAUUGAAACAGGUAAUUUUAUUAUUUCUUCAAUAGUCUGAACAACAAUUAAACAUGUUCCACGCCAAAGCAAAAAUCCUGGCUUAUACAUAUUGGCCGAUAAUUGAACUGAAUUGGAUAUGUCUAUUUUAAUUACUUUUUAAUCAAAUUAGACCAUUUAUUAAAUAGAAAAAUCUCGUUUAAUAAAGGUCCAUUAAUCCUAAACAAAAGAGAGUCUUCUUUAAUCCCACCUAAUAGUUAAUCAUUAUUUCCCUCAAUAAAGGUCAAUAAAGUCGUUACUUCCUCCAACAAGGCUGAGAGUUUGAAUCCCCAAUUCAAUAUAUAUAUAUAUAUAUAUAUAUACAUAUAAUAAUAAUAAUAAAAUAAAUAUAAAAAUUUCUCUAUCAUUUUAGCUCUCUGUAGGUUAAAUCAAUUUACUCGAUAAAGCAUAUCCAUCUUCAAAAAAAAUCCCUAUCAUUCCCUAAGGCAUGAAGCUCCUCUUACAAAAAAUGGCUUCCACUUGCUCAAUCUAAUCAGCUCCAUCAAGACCAAGAAGCAGAGCAGAAGGAGCAAUUCUCAAAGCCAAUAAAGGAAAUGUUUGCAAGUACUUUUGACACACCCAGAUUUACAGUAAGAGGGGUUGAGGUCUCGGAAGGUGCUAUCUGACUGGAAAAAAGCCUCUUGCUUAGCCUUUUCACUUGAAGCUUUGUUCAUUAUUAAAAGAAGCAGGGCCUAACCCAAGGAAUUGAGGGAGAUCUAGUGUGGGUCCAAUUGGCCAAAAUCUCUGAGAGUUGUUGAUAGAUUUCUCGCUUUGUUAUCUGAGUUUUGGCAGAGUUGUAGACCAGAGAGCUGCAAGUCUUACUUACCAUUUUUAUUUUUAUUUUCUAUUUUUUUAUUUUUUUGUUCGUGUCAAUGGAGACUUAUACAAUUUCUAUUACUCUCUUUCAACUUUCUGUAAUUUCCAUUACUCUCUUUCAACUUUCUGAAGGUUUGGCAUGGGAACUUCUGCAUUGAAUUAACAAAACUCUUUCUCUGCUGGUUUCUUGGCUC